RNAcentral lists this ribosomal RNA (469 nucleotides) under Klebsiella pneumoniae. RNAcentral describes it as "partial 23S ribosomal RNA". It matches the Rfam family "Bacterial large subunit ribosomal RNA", at positions 2474 to 2925 of the family's 2925-position model. Lineage: Bacteria; Pseudomonadati; Pseudomonadota; Gammaproteobacteria; Enterobacterales; Enterobacteriaceae. The record is from RNAcentral.
AUAACAGGCUGAUACCGCCCAAGAGUUCAUAUCGACGGCGGUGUUUGGCACCUCGAUGUCGGCUCAUCACAUCCUGGGGCUGAAGUAGGUCCCAAGGGGAUGGCUGUUCGCCAUUUAAAGUGGUACGCGAGCUGGGUUUAGAACGUCGUGAGACAGUUCGGUCCCUAUCUGCCGUGGGCGCUGGAGAAUUGAGGGGGGCUGCUCCUAGUACGAGAGGACCGGAGUGGACGCAUCACUGGUGUUCGGGUUGUCAUGCCAAUGGCACUGCCCGGUAGCUAAAUGCGGAAGAGAUAAGUGCUGAAAGCAUCUAAGCACGAAACUUGCCCCGAGAUGAGUUCUCCCUGAGACUUUAAGUCUCCUGAAGGAACGUUGAAGACGACGACGUUGAUAGGCCGGGUGUGUAAGCGCAGCGAUGCGUUGAGCUAACCGGUACUAAUGAACCGUGAGGCUUAACCUUACAACGCCGAAG